Molecule: ribosomal RNA, 496 nt
Filed under: uncultured bacterium
Lineage: Bacteria
Description: partial 16S ribosomal RNA
Rfam family: Bacterial small subunit ribosomal RNA
Source: RNAcentral
AUGAACGCUGGCGGCGUGCCUAAUACAUGCAAGUCGAGCGAACAGACGAGGAGCUUGCUCCUCUGACGUUAGCGGCGGACGGGUGAGUAACACGUGGAUAACCUACCUAUAAGACUGGGAUAACUUCGGGAAACCGGAGCUAAUACCGGAUAAUAUAUUGAACCGCAUGGUUCAAUAGUGAAAGACGGUUUUGCUGUCACUUAUAGAUGGAUCCGCGCCGCAUUAGCUAGUUGGUAAGGUAACGGCUUACCAAGGCAACGAUGCGUAGCCGACCUGAGAGGGUGAUCGGCCACACUGGAACUGAGACCCGGCCCAGACUCCUACGGGAGGCAGCAGUAGGGAAUCUUCCGCAAUGGGCGAAAGCCUGACGGAGCAACGCCGCGUGAGUGAUGAAGGUCUUCGGAUCGUAAAACUCUGUUAUUAGGGAAGAACAAAUGUGUAAGUAACUAUGCACGUCUUGACGGUACCUAAUCAGAAAGCCACGGCUAACUACGUG